RNAcentral lists this ribosomal RNA (484 nucleotides) under uncultured bacterium. RNAcentral's name for it is "partial 16S ribosomal RNA". It matches the Rfam family "Bacterial small subunit ribosomal RNA", at positions 30 to 507 of the family's 1533-position model. The record is from RNAcentral.
AUUGAACGCUGGCGGCAGGCCUAACACAUGCAAGUCGAGCGGAUGAAGGGAGCUUGCUCCUGGAUUCAGCGGCGGACGGGUGAGUAAUGCCUAGGAAUCUGCCUGGUAGUGGGGGAUAACGUCCGGAAACGGGCGCUAAUACCGCAUACGUCCUGAGGGAGAAAGUGGGGGAUCUUCGGACCUCACGCUAUCAGAUGAGCCUAGGUCGGAUUAGCUAGUUGGUGGGGUAAAGGCCUACCAAGGCGACGAUCCGUAACUGGUCUGAGAGGAUGAUCAGUCACCCUGGAACUGAGACACGGUCCAGACUCCUACGGGAGGCAGCAGUGGGGAAUAUUGGACAAGGGGCGAAAGCCUGAUCCAGCCAUGCCGCGUGUGUGAAGAAGGUCUUCGGAUUGUAAAGCACGUUAAGUUGGGAGGAAGGGCAGUAAGUUAAUACCGUGCUGUUUUGACGUUACCAACAGAAUAAGCACCGGCUAACUUCGUG